CCGCUAAGUUGUGCGUUCCAGGGUGCACUCGCCGGCGAGGCUGCACGGCGCCGGUUUCAUUGCUAAAAUCCGACGGACUUGUUGCAGAACUCGUUUUUUUUGUCGGGAAAGGGCUUCCCCGUGUAACUUUACAGCAGUUAUCGUAGAUAAGACUUGCAAAUUACAGAUGUGGACGGUGAGGGAACGGGAAUUUCACUGAAAGCGCCUGAGAACCAGUAAGAGACCUGCAACAGCUUUGUGCUCCACUGGCGAAUGCUUCCUCCCCUAAUACACAUUAUGUGUGCUUGGAGACACAAGGAGUAAGAUACAGCCCCUCAAGGGACUCGUCAUAGGGAGAGGACACAGCUUUGGGAAUAAAGGGGCCACAAAGGAGGAGAGAGGAGUUUGCUGAAACUUCCCAAGCUCCCAUUCCAGCAGUUCCUGAAGGAUUCAUUUCUCUCUGAGGAUCUCAUGAGGUGGCUUAGCAGCUAGAAUCUCUUCCUUAACAGUGGGAAGAACAACUCCUGGAAAUUUAGGUCGACUUUGACUGGAUUUAAAAGAAAGCUGUACAAUUCCACUUCUGUAUAUACAACCAAAGGAAAUGAGAUGUGCAUACCCAUGUUCAAUGAAGCAUUAUUCACAAUAGCCAAAAUGUGGAACCAAUCCUUAAACAAAAGGAAAACAGAAAAUCUGCUCAAGUGGGAAGAAACUAACCCUCAUUGAGUGCCUAGUUAACAUCAGGCACUUUGUACACAUAAUCAAUUGAAUCUUGACCACAACCCUGUGAGGUGAAAAAUGAGAAGAUUAAAUAAGCCAUGGGAAGAUUUUUUAAAAUGACAUGAAACUCCAAGGGUAAAAAGUAGGCUGGGAAAUCUUAGGAUGGUGAACCAUCAUGUUUCCUGAAUGUGAAUCCUGUACCUGGUUUGACUGUAGUCACCCCUUCUCCAACACUCUCCACGAUGCCGGCUGCCUCAUGGCCUAAAAUCACAGGAAGUGGGGUCACCAUGGUACCACUAACCACGUGGUCAUCUGUGCCACAGAUUCCUACAGCCACCAUCUACAGAGUGAAGAGAAGAUGUUUAUAAAAGAUUGUGAGUCUCAGGAUGUUCAACAUGAUCAAUGCCAAAUAAAUAUCAGAAUACUUGGAAGUAAAGUACUAAUAGUAGGAGUUCCUGAUUAUCAGGUGCCUAUGAUGUGACAGGCACAUUGUGGCCUGUGCUCGACCAGGAGACUGGUGAGUCCUUGUGGAUUUCUUCCCUGCUCAAGUGCAUAAAGCAGGUGUAUUGCAUAGCUUUUCCAGGCUGAGAUCAAAGACGGAGAUGUGCCUACCCGCAGAUCCUAGAUGGCCAUGUUUGCAACAGAGGUAAUGAUGAGCAGUGCGAAGAUGUGACUCCAAAGCCUGGAGAAGGACAGACCAGCAUCCCUGCAAGAGAUCCAACUGUCUUCUUUUCCGCAGAGGUCCAUAAUUUACAUGGGCCUGACAAAGAAUACUGUAACUUGCAGAAAUUAUCUUCAGUUCAAAUCCUUCAUUUUGGGGGUUAAAUAACUUGCCCAAGAUGUCGAGGGAGCGGAAAUACUUGCUGGUCUUGCAGCGGCUGUGGAGCCUGGAAUCCUGCCAAGAAGAGCAUGUGUGAGAGAUCAAAAUGUUUGCUUACAUUCCUCCUGUGAAGGGAGUUGGGAAAUAACCUAAGAAGCCCAAUCCAAAAACAAAGAUGUACCAUCCAGUCUUCUCUGUGAGAACCAAACUACAAACCAUCUGAAUGUUCCAAAAGUGUUUUGAUGAUGUAUUGAUGUAUUUUAAAUUAUCCUGAAAAUGUUCUUGGCAGAUGCUUAAACAUGUAAUUACUGAGAUGAUGUAGAAAUACCAAGUGUUUAUUAAAACAAUACAGAGUAAUACAAAUGGUAUGUUUGUCGCAAUAUAAAAGUAUCUAAAAAUUAAAGAGUUCUUUAAUGGU
RNAcentral lists this long non-coding RNA (1934 nucleotides) under Homo sapiens (human). Its description in RNAcentral is "HSALNT0321092". Lineage: Eukaryota; Metazoa; Chordata; Mammalia; Primates; Hominidae. The record is from RNAcentral.